This 468-nucleotide ribosomal RNA is filed under the name uncultured bacterium. RNAcentral describes it as "partial 16S ribosomal RNA". It matches the Rfam family "Bacterial small subunit ribosomal RNA", at positions 28 to 507 of the family's 1533-position model. The record is from RNAcentral.
GACGAACGCUGGCGGCGUGCUUAACACAUGCAAGUCGAACGGAAAGGCCCUGCUUUUUUGCUGUGCUCGAGUGGCGAUCGGGGGAGUAACACGUGAGUAACCUGCCCUUGACUUUGGGAUAACUUCAGGAAACUGGGGCUAAUACCGGAUAGGAGCUCCUGUUGCUAGGUGGGGGUUGGAAAGUUUCGGCGGUUGGGGUUGGACUCGCGGCUUAUCAGCUUGUUUGUGGGGUAGUGGAUUACCAAGGCUUGGACGGGUAGCCGGCCUGGGAGGGUGAGCGGCCCCAUCGGGACUGGGAUGCGGCCCAGACUCCUCCGGGAGGCAGCAGUGGAGAAUGUUGCACAAUGGGCGGAGGCAUGAUGCGGCAGCGCCGCGUGCGGGAUGACGGGCUUCGGGUUGUAAAGCGCUUUCGCCUGUGACGAAGCGUGAGUGACGGUAAUGGGUGAAGAAGCACCGGCUAACUACGUG